Molecule: long non-coding RNA, 240 nt
Filed under: Elaeis guineensis (African oil palm)
Lineage: Eukaryota; Viridiplantae; Streptophyta; Magnoliopsida; Arecales; Arecaceae
Description: long non-coding RNA (EGUI_LNC054682)
Source: RNAcentral
ACUUACCUGGCCAACAUGGUCAAUCAUAUUUUGAUUAGAUCACUUAAUGAUUGAACUUGACCCAUGCUAACUAAAAAAUCAAUAUGACUAAUUUAGAUGCCUUUAAUUCAACUUGUCUUGAGUCCUCUUCAUAACUUGGUGAAGUCAAUGGGAGGAUGUAUGAUUCGUUAGUAUUGAGAAUUAUGUUCUAAAACCAAUUAUGUAGUGCUUGUGUUCCUCUUUGUAUAUGAAUUAUUGAUA